Molecule: long non-coding RNA, 655 nt
Filed under: Equus asinus (donkey)
Lineage: Eukaryota; Metazoa; Chordata; Mammalia; Perissodactyla; Equidae
Description: lncRNA (ENSEASG00005031532.1)
Source: RNAcentral
CAGGAAGGAUACACACCGACUUUAGGAUAGCAGUGACCUCUGGUGAGAGAGGGAAACCAGAAGAUUCUGUAAUUGUAGUAAUACACGUCUUUUAAAAAGGAAUUGAAUGUGGUAAAAUGCUGAUAUUUGUUAAAACUGGGUGGUGAUAACUUAUUUUUCAUAUUGUUCUCUGUACUGUAAAGUAUACUUGAAACAUUCAUGAUUUUUAAAUAAUUAAAUAAGGAAAUCUAAAAUUAAUCAGCGGGAACAAUGAAUGUGCUCUGAUAAGGAUAGAAAUCCGGAGUUGGAGGUUAUGGAUGUCAGUUUCAGUUUUACAUUAGUGUCAGAAUCUAUUUCUAUAUUUUGUUAUUGUUUCACAGCAUCGAGUAAUUCUUGAUUCACAGGAACACAGUCCUUGCAAACAAGCUAUGAAGCUAGGAGCCCAGAGCUGACCUCAGCUGUCUCUCUCACCACGCAGAGAAGCCUGCUCACAGUGAGAGAGUACACAGUGAUUCUCAGAGAGAGGUCACCUCUGGCUGGUCAGCAUGUCCGAUGGAUGCAGGAGAGAGUGAUAUUUUCGGUUCAUGAUAAGGUGGACCCCACUGAGGAAACGUGACAAACUCUCGUCACCUUUCUCUCACCCACACUCUGAAGUGCUGACUUCCAAUCGUUUCCG